Molecule: ribosomal RNA, 432 nt
Filed under: uncultured bacterium
Lineage: Bacteria
Description: partial 16S ribosomal RNA
Rfam family: Bacterial small subunit ribosomal RNA
Source: RNAcentral
AACGAACGCUGGCGGCAUGCCUAACACAUGCAAGUCGAACGAAGGCUUCGGCCUUAGUGGCGCACGGGUGCGUAACGCGUGGGAAUCUGCCCUUUGCUUCGGAAUAACAGUUAGAAAUGACUGCUAAUACCGGAUGAUGUCGCAAGACCAUGAUUUAUCGGCAAAGGAUGAGCCCGCGUAGGAUUAGCUAGUUGGUGGGGUAAAGGCCUACCAAGGCGACGAUCCUUAGCUGGUCUGAGAGGAUGAUCAGCCACACUGGGACUGAGACACGGCCCAGACUCCUACGGGAGGCAGCAGUGGGGAAUAUUGGACAAGGGGCGAAAGCCUGAUCCAGCAAUGCCGCGUGAGUGAUGAAGGCCUUAGGGUUGUAAAGCUCUUUUACCCGGGAUGAUAAUGUCAGUACCGGGAGAAUAAGCUCCGGCUAACUCCGUG